GGUUUGGAUCCUGCCUCCAUUGUGCGUGUGUGGAGUUUGCAUGUCCUCUGCACGUGGUGCGGUUUUCAUUCAGCUCUUGUACUGUGAAGAACUGCCCAUUGGAUUUCCCAGAGGAAGCAGCCUGCAGACCUGCUCUGGCUGAUAAUUGGGGUAACUCUGUUAUCUCACAGGAGACACAAAGACAUGCGCAAUGUUCAUAAAAAAAAAGUUAAUUCUUUGUGUUCCUGCAAUGGACUGGUUUCCAAUCUACAAAACACAAGACCUAUGUUUUGAAACUCAGGCUCUAGAUCACUGUUGCCCCAGUUUAAAACGUGGAUGAAGGGAGUUUCAUACUGAGAGCCUAAGCGGUUUUUGCAGACAGUAAACUUUGUGAUAGAAUCUGUCACUUAACGGUUGUUCAAGGGCAAUAAACAAAAAGCAGAGUCAAAUGUGACAA
Long non-coding RNA from Brienomyrus brachyistius, 436 nucleotides. RefSeq lists it as uncharacterized. The transcript is spliced from 2 exons. NCBI's taxonomy places the organism in Eukaryota, Metazoa, Chordata, Actinopteri, Osteoglossiformes, Mormyridae. The record is from RefSeq and is a predicted model, not a curated record.